GACGAACGCUGGCGGCGUGCCUAACACAUGCAAGUCGAGCGAAUGAAGUUUCUUCGGGAAUGGAUUUAGCGGCGGACGGGUGAGUAACACGUGGGCAACCUGCCUCAUAGAGGGGAAUAGCCUCCCGUAAGGGAGAUUAAUACCGCAUAAGCUUGUAGUACCGCAUGAUACAGCAAUUAAAGGAGCAAUCCGCGAUGAGAUGGGCCCGCGGCGCAUUAGCUAGUUGGUGAGGUAAUGGCUCACCAAGGCGACGAUGCGUAGCCGACCUGAGAGGGUGAUUGGCCACAUUGGGACUGAGACACGGCCCAGACUCCUACGGGAAGCAGCAAUGGGGAAUAUUGCACAAUGGGGGAAACCCUGAUGCAGCAACGCCGCGUGAGUGAUGACGGCCUUCGGGUUGUAAAGCUCGGUCUUCAGGGACGAUAAUGACGGUACCUGAGGAAGAAGCCACGGCUAACUACGUG
Molecule: ribosomal RNA, 464 nt
Filed under: uncultured bacterium
Lineage: Bacteria
Description: partial 16S ribosomal RNA
Rfam family: Bacterial small subunit ribosomal RNA
Source: RNAcentral